RNAcentral lists this ribosomal RNA (301 nucleotides) under uncultured bacterium. RNAcentral's name for it is "partial 16S ribosomal RNA". It matches the Rfam family "Bacterial small subunit ribosomal RNA", at positions 509 to 807 of the family's 1533-position model. The record is from RNAcentral.
CAGCCGCCGCGGUAACACGUAGGUGGCGAGCGUUGUCCGGAUUUAUUGGGCGUAAAGGGAGUGUAGGCGGUCUUUUAAGUCUGAUGUGAAAGCCCACGGCUCAACCGUGGAGGGUCAUUGGAAACUGGGAGACUUGAGUGCAGAAGAGGAGAGCGGAAUUCCAUGUGUAGCGGUGAAAUGCGUAGAUAUAUGGAGGAACACCAGUGGCGAAGGCGGCUCUCUGGUCUGUAACUGACGCUGAGGCUCGAAAGCGUGGGGAGCAAACAAGAUUAGAUACCCGGGUAGUCCCUGUCUCUUAUAC